GCCAUCGUGGACCCCCUGGUGGCCCUGGCCUGGCUGCAUGUGCUUCAUGGGCAGAGCCUGGUGGCCCUGAACAUCCUGCAGUCUGUCCAGGAUGCAGUGGUGGUCAGCGAGGACCAGGAGGGUGUGAUUUCCAACAUUGGUGGCCGUGGCUCUGAAGAGGACGGGACGGACGAGGCAGGCAGCCGAGGGCUACUACCACGCCCUAUGGGUGGCUUGGGACCUGGGCCAGCGGAGGAACCAGGCAGUGUUGCUGGCCAACUUUGGCACCUUGUGCCUGCACGCGGGUGCCAGCAGGCUGGCCCAGCACUACCUCCUGGAGGCUGUACGUCUGUUCUCGAGGCUUCCCUGUGGGGAGUGUGGCCGGGACUUCACCCACAUACUCCUGGGCUACCUCUUCACCCGCCAGGGCCCGGCCCAGCAGUGCAAGGGCUACUACGAGUGGGCCCUUCUGGUCGCCGUGGAGAUGGACCACGUGGAGAUGAUUCCAGGGCCUACAAAUCCGCUCUGGACUACACCAAACGAAGUCUGGGCAUUUUCAUUGACCUCCAGAAGAGAAGGAGGCGCAUGCCUGGCUGCAAGCAGGGAAGAUCUAUUACCUCCUGCAGCAGAGCGAGCUGGUAGACCUGUACAUCCAGGUGGCUCAGAAUGUGGACCUGUACACAGGCGACCCCAACCUGGGGCUGGAGCUGUUUGAGGCAGCUGGAGACAUCUUCUUCAAUGGGGCCUGGGAGCGGGAGGAAGGCCUGUCCUUCUACCGGGUGAGCUGGCCUGUGGGCUGAUGUGGGUGGGCCUCAGUGGGGAACCUGGACGGCUGAGGCACAGGUGUGGCAGGGUAGAGGCCUCCCAAAUGGAGGCAGGGCCACCCAUGCACAUGAUGAGUUUCCAAGUGGUCUGACCGGGAAUGAUAUUGACCAUGCCCCUGCCUGGGACAAACUCUCGGGGCCUGGACGUGAUAAUGGCUCUACCCUUGUACCUGAUGACCUCAAGCAACCAUGAGUGGGAAGUCCUGUCCCCAUCUUCCAGAUGAGGAAACUGAGGCUCAGAGAGGCACAGGGACAUGUCAAAGGACACACAGCAUAUCAGUGGGAGGCCCAGGUCUGCACGCACCCCGAAGUGGGACGGCUUCUCCCUUCCUCUGAGCUCACGGUGUGGCUCAGCCCUGGGCACAGAUCAAUGUGGUGUUUUUAGAGCAGAGAGGAGUGCUGGCUCCCCCCAGUCAGACCUCCGGUGCCCAGGUGGGAGAGGCUGGUCUGCGGCUAUCGGGUGUAGCUGGAUGGGCCUCAGGUGACUCUUCAGCCCCCAACUUGGAUGUCUGAACUGUGUGUUAUCCCAGAGCACAGAGCUGUGUCGAGGUGCAGGGGUAGCUGGGGUGUGGGAAGCUCCAAGCACGUGUUUGAGCUCUGAGGAGGGCGCUGGGCAAGGUGGGUGCUGCGGGAAACCUGACCCCACCUGCCUGUGUGGUAGGACCGGGCCCUGCCCCGGCAGUGACUACGGGCAACCGCAAGGUGGAGCUGCAGCUACAGCUGUGCAACAAGCUGGUGUCACUGCUGGCCACACUGGAGGAGCCCCAGGAGGACUUGGAGUUUGCUUACAUGGCCCUAGCACUCAGGAUCACUCUGGGUAAGUCCCCUGAGCCCCCGCCCUGCCAGGACCCACACUUUGCCAGAGCCCAGCCUCCAGGUCUGCAGGCCAGGAGCUGAAACAGCUGCUGGAUUUUCCUGGUCUCCUGUCCAGGCAGGCAGAUCUGCCCAACUGGCUUCCCCGUCCGGCUGUGGGGCACAGCCCGAGGUCUCUCACGCAGUGCAGAGCUCCCUGCCUGACUGAGCUCUGCUUCCUGUGCCUGUUCCCGCUGCUGACCACAAGGGCCGUCCAGUGUGCCCUCUGCCUUCCAGACAUGCCAGGCAUCUCGUUGGUCCCUGUAUGUGCCAGACUGAGUGGCACAUUCCCUUUCUCUUGUGCCCUUCCCACCCUAAUCAACCACACGGUUCUCUGGCUGAUAAAAUCCCAGUUUCCCUUCCAGCAGUCUGCCCCUUAAGGCCGUGCAUCCCCUGGUGCUGUGCCAGGGUUGUCUGUCCCCCUCCAGAGACAGGGAACCCUAGGCAGGCCACAUGCCCCAGCGCCUUGUGCCCCGUGGCCCAGUACACAGUAGGUAUGCAGCUGACUCCCCAAAGUAGGGGGCUCUGAUCAUG
This is a long non-coding RNA of Macaca mulatta (Rhesus monkey), 2189 nucleotides long. NCBI's taxonomy places the organism in Eukaryota, Metazoa, Chordata, Mammalia, Primates, Cercopithecidae. The record is from Ensembl.